GGACCCGCACAAGCAGUGGAGCAUGUGGUUUAAUUCGACGCAACGCGAAGAACCUUACCAGCGUUUGACAUGGAAAGUACCGGUUACAGAAUGGUAACCUUCAGUUCGGCUGGCUUUCACACAGGUGCUGCAUGGCUGUCGUCAGCUCGUGUCGUGAGAUGUUGGUUAAGUCCCGCAACGAGCGCAACCCUUAUCGUUAGUUACUAACAGUUCGGCUGAGGACUCUAGCGAAACUGCCGGUGAUAAGCCGGAGGAAGGUGGGGAUGACGUCAAGUCCUCAUGGCCCUUACACGCUGGGCUACACACGUGCUACAAUGGUGAGGACAGAGGGACGCUACCAGGUGACUGGAUGCAAA
Molecule: ribosomal RNA, 356 nt
Filed under: uncultured bacterium
Lineage: Bacteria
Description: bacterial SSU rRNA
Rfam family: Bacterial small subunit ribosomal RNA
Source: RNAcentral